CAGUCGCCACGGGAAUACAGAGGGUGCGAGCGUUAAUCGGAUUUACUGGGCGUAAAGCGUGCGUAGGCGGCUUUUUAAGUCGGAUGUGAAAUCCCUGAGCUUAACUUAGGAAUUGCAUUCGAUACUGGGAAGCUAGAGUAUGGGAGAGGAUGGUAGAAUUCCAGGUGUAGCGGUGAAAUGCGUAGAGAUCUGGAGGAAUACCGAUGGCGAAGGCAGCCAUCUGGCCUAAUACUGACGCUGAGGUACGAAAGCAUGGGGAGCAAACAGGAUUAGAUACCCCCGUAGUCCCUGUCUCUUAUAU
Molecule: ribosomal RNA, 301 nt
Filed under: uncultured bacterium
Lineage: Bacteria
Description: partial 16S ribosomal RNA
Rfam family: Bacterial small subunit ribosomal RNA
Source: RNAcentral